UCCACACGAUGAUGUGCCGACGAUUUGUGGUUCCUUUAGAAACAUAUUCACGUAAAAUUCCCGAUAAUUACAUCGAAAGGCGUGGUAACUUAAAAUUAUGACUAGAAUCUGGAUUGUACCGAAGCUUCAACAACUUUGAAGUGAUUUCCUCAUCUGGGUUUGAUUGAAAGGUUGGUAGGAACUCAGUCACCUAAAAUAUUAACCUUAGGGUCAUAGAGUGUUGCAUGCGUUGUAGAAGAUGCAAUCCACACAACUUUAGCUCGUGGAAUAUAACAUAAGCUGGAUAUUGUGUUCAAGAACACAGUUUCAAGUCGAUGUCGUAAUUGACCGUCUUGUGACCAAACCUUAACGCUACGAUCAAAUGAACCAGUGAUCAACCUGUGUAAACAAUGUGUUAUGUUUUAUAAAGUAGUUUCAAUACAAACAUUCCAUUACAGUCUAAAUAUAUGCAUGAUACAAUAAAUUGUCUUCAUCGCAUAUAUAUUAUGAUAAAAUCGACUUAAAUUUCGGUUUUAAAGCUAAAAUCUUAUAUAUGGUUUGUAAUGUUUGUAUCUAAACUGAUAAGAAACCUGUAUAUUAUAUGUCUUGAAACUUAUUUGGAGGGGGCCUGCUUGGAGUAGAAAUACAAGUAAUAUAGUUUUAAUUUUGACAUCCGAAAAUUAACUAUUAAAAAAAAAUGUUAAUAAACUGCAUAACGUAAAA
Non-coding RNA from Ciona intestinalis (vase tunicate), 702 nucleotides. The record is from RefSeq and is a predicted model, not a curated record. Lineage: Eukaryota; Metazoa; Chordata; Ascidiacea; Phlebobranchia; Cionidae.